RNAcentral lists this non-coding RNA (154 nucleotides) under Planctomycetota bacterium. Its description in RNAcentral is "Planctomycetes bacterium (soil metagenome) 6S RNA". It matches the Rfam family "6S / SsrS RNA". Rfam says of the family: E. coli 6S RNA was the first non coding RNA to be sequenced, but its function was unknown until recently. It consists of 184 nucleotides that fold into an extended hairpin structure with a large single-stranded internal bulge. The record is from RNAcentral. Lineage: Bacteria; Pseudomonadati; Planctomycetota.
GUGCCCCUGCUGUGUUCGAGUUCCGGCCGCAAUCCCCUGGCCUUUCUCUACCCCAGGGAACCUGCUCGCUACCGGGCCAUGCCCGGGAAUGGCGGUUCCCACCUGAACUAUAGGUUCAGGGAAGCCUGCUGGUCACGGCACGAGCGGAGGCAUU